Molecule: ribosomal RNA, 274 nt
Filed under: uncultured bacterium
Lineage: Bacteria
Description: partial 16S ribosomal RNA
Rfam family: Bacterial small subunit ribosomal RNA
Source: RNAcentral
AUACGGAGGGGGUUAGCGUUGUUCGGAAUUACUGGGCGUAAAGCGCACGUAGGCGGAUUGGAAAGUUGGGGGUGAAAUCCCAGGGCUCAACCCUGGAACUGCCUCCAAAACUAACAGUCUAGAGUUCGAGAGAGGUGAGUGGAAUUCCAAGUGUAGAGGUGAAAUUCGUAGAUAUUUGGAGGAACACCAGUGGCGAAGGCGGCUCACUGGCUCGAUACUGACGCUGAGGUGCGAAAGCGUGGGGAGCAAACAGGAGUAGAAACCCUAGUAGUCC